GAGUUUGAUCCUGGCUCAGGAUGAACGCUGGCGGCGUGCCUAACACAUGCAAGUCGAACGGGAAUAGGAUGAAACCUAGUGAUUCCUAUUCCAGUGGCGGACGGGUGAGUAACGCGUGGGUAACCUGCCUUGCACUGGGGGAUAACACUUAGAAAUAGGUGCUAAUACAGCAUAAGCGCACAGAACCGCAUGGUUCGGUGUGAAAAACUCCGGUGGUGUAAGAUGGACCCGCGUCUGAUUAGCUGGUUGGUGAGGUAACGGCUCACCAAGGCGACGAUCAGUAGCCGGCCUGAGAGGGUGAACGGCCACAUUGGGACUGAGGCACGGCCCAAACUCCUACGGGAGGCAGCAGUGGGGAAUAUUGCACAAUGGGGGAAACCCUGAUGCAGCAACGCCGCGUGAGUGAAGAAGUCAUGCAUGAUGUAAAGCUCUAUCAGCAGGGA
This 443-nucleotide ribosomal RNA is filed under the name uncultured bacterium. Its description in RNAcentral is "bacterial SSU rRNA". It matches the Rfam family "Bacterial small subunit ribosomal RNA", at positions 9 to 445 of the family's 1533-position model. The record is from RNAcentral.